This 30-nucleotide non-coding RNA is filed under the name Rattus norvegicus (Norway rat). Lineage: Eukaryota; Metazoa; Chordata; Mammalia; Rodentia; Muridae. The record is from RNAcentral.
UGAACAGAUAAUUGUAAGUGUCCAAGUGAU